GCCGACUCUUGAAAAAGAACAGGCCCCAAAUCCUCCAACGUGAGUUUCAUGGCAUUCAUUUGGGUUUUUCCAGAUGGUAUUUUCCUCACUCUCUCAAAUUUAUUUAAUGUUAUGUAUCAGCUACCAUCAAAAAUGUUCCAAACAGUCCGGUUAAUUCAUGUCUUUCAGGACUCAACAAUACCCUUUACACACUAUUACUCCACAUCCCCAACCCCCAACACACACAAUCUAGGCUCACACACAAAACAGCCAUUAUGAAGAGAAACCAUCAACUAAAGACUGGUUUUAGGCAACUAACUGCAUAGGAGGUUUC
This 313-nucleotide long non-coding RNA is filed under the name Bos taurus (domestic cattle). RNAcentral's name for it is "long non-coding RNA NONBTAT013774". The record is from RNAcentral. Lineage: Eukaryota; Metazoa; Chordata; Mammalia; Artiodactyla; Bovidae.